Molecule: ribosomal RNA, 2353 nt
Filed under: Salmonella enterica
Lineage: Bacteria; Pseudomonadati; Pseudomonadota; Gammaproteobacteria; Enterobacterales; Enterobacteriaceae
Description: bacterial LSU rRNA
Rfam family: Bacterial large subunit ribosomal RNA
Source: RNAcentral
GUGACUGCGUACCUUUUGUAUAAUGGGUCAGCGACUUAUAUUCUGUAGCAAGGUUAACCGAAUAGGGGAGCCGGAGGGAAACCGAGUCUUAAUUGGGCGUUAAGUUGCAGGGUAUAGACCCGAAACCCGGUGAUCUAGCCAUGGGCAGGUUGAAGGUUGGGUAACACUAACUGGAGGACCGAACCGACUAAUGUUGAAAAAUUAGCGGAUGACCUGUGGCUGGGGGUGAAAGGCCAAUCAAACCGGGAGAUAGCUGGUUCUCCCCGAAAGCUAUUUAGGUAGCGCCUCGUGAAUUCAUCUCCGGGGGUAGAGCACUGUUUCGGCUAGGGGGCCAUCCCGGCUUACCAACCCGAUGCAAACUGCGAAUACCGGAGAAUGUUAUCACGGGAGACACACGGCGGGUGCUAACGUCCGUCGUGAAGAGGGAAACAACCCAGACCGCCAGCUAAGGUCCCAAAGUCAUGGUUAAGUGGGAAACGAUGUGGGAAGGCCCAGACAGCCAGGAUGUUGGCUUAGAAGCAGCCAUCAUUUAAAGAAAGCGUAAUAGCUCACUGGUCGAGUCGGCCUGCGCGGAAGAUGUAACGGGGCUAAACCAUGCACCGAAGCUGCGGCAGCGACGCUAUGUGUUGUUGGGUAGGGGAGCGUUCUGUAAGCCUGUGAAGGUGGCCUGUGAGGGUUGCUGGAGGUAUCAGAAGUGCGAAUGCUGACAUAAGUAACGAUAAAGCGGGUGAAAAGCCCGCUCGCCGGAAGACCAAGGGUUCCUGUCCAACGUUAAUCGGGGCAGGGUGAGUCGACCCCUAAGGCGAGGCCGAAAGGCGUAGUCGAUGGGAAACGGGUUAAUAUUCCCGUACUUGGUGUUACUGCGAAGGGGGGACGGAGAAGGCUAUGUUGGCCGGGCGACGGUUGUCCCGGUUUAAGCGUGUAGGUGUGUGUUCCAGGUAAAUCCGGUUCACUUUAACACUGAGGCGUGAUGACGAGGCACUACGGUGCUGAAGCAACAAAUGCCCUGCUUCCAGGAAAAGCCUCUAAGCAUCAGGUAACAUCAAAUCGUACCCCAAACCGACACAGGUGGUCAGGUAGAGAAUACCAAGGCGCUUGAGAGAACUCGGGUGAAGGAACUAGGCAAAAUGGUGCCGUAACUUCGGGAGAAGGCACGCUGACACGUAGGUGAAGUGAUUUACUCAUGGAGCUGAAGUCAGUCGAAGAUACCAGCUGGCUGCAACUGUUUAUUAAAAACACAGCACUGUGCAAACACGAAAGUGGACGUAUACGGUGUGACGCCUGCCCGGUGCCGGAAGGUUAAUUGAUGGGGUCAGCGCAAGCGAAGCUCCUGAUCGAAGCCCCGGUAAACGGCGGCCGUAACUAUAACGGUCCUAAGGUAGCGAAAUUCCUUGUCGGGUAAGUUCCGACCUGCACGAAUGGCGUAAUGAUGGCCAGGCUGUCUCCACCCGAGACUCAGUGAAAUUGAACUCGCUGUGAAGAUGCAGUGUACCCGCGGCAAGACGGAAAGACCCCGUGAACCUUUACUAUAGCUUGACACUGAACAUUGAGCCUUGAUGUGUAGGAUAGGUGGGAGGCUUUGAAGUGUGGACGCCAGUCUGCAUGGAGCCGACCUUGAAAUACCACCCUUUAAUGUUUGAUGUUCUAACGUGGACCCGUGAUCCGGGUUGCGGACAGUGUCUGGUGGGUAGUUUGACUGGGGCGGUCUCCUCCUAAAGAGUAACGGAGGAGCACGAAGGUUGGCUAAUCCUGGUCGGACAUCAGGAGGUUAGUGCAAUGGCAUAAGCCAGCUUGACUGCGAGCGUGACGGCGCGAGCAGGUGCGAAAGCAGGUCAUAGUGAUCCGGUGGUUCUGAAUGGAAGGGCCAUCGCUCAACGGAUAAAAGGUACUCCGGGGAUAACAGGCUGAUACCGCCCAAGAGUUCAUAUCGACGGCGGUGUUUGGCACCUCGAUGUCGGCUCAUCACAUCCUGGGGCUGAAGUAGGUCCCAAGGGUAUGGCUGUUCGCCAUUUAAAGUGGUACGCGAGCUGGGUUUAGAACGUCGUGAGACAGUUCGGUCCCUAUCUGCCGUGGGCGCUGGAGAACUGAGGGGGGCUGCUCCUAGUACGAGAGGACCGGAGUGGACGCAUCACUGGUGUUCGGGUUGUCAUGCCAAUGGCACUGCCCGGUAGCUAAAUGCGGAAGAGAUAAGUGCUGAAAGCAUCUAAGCACGAAACUUGCCCCGAGAUGAGUUCUCCCUGAGACUUAGAGUCUCCUGAAGGAACGUUGAAGACGACGACGUUGAUAGGCCGGGUGUGUAAGCGCAGCGAUGCGUUGAGCUAACCGGUACUAAUGAACCGUGAGGCUUAACCUU